CUUCCUUUUACCCUACCCACCUUCACUUAAGUAGCUCUUUGCUAAAGAAUAUAGGGAGGAAAAGGGAGAGAGUUUUAAACAAUUUCAAAUGAUAUAUUGAGUCCUGUCAAAUAGAGCUAUAAUUCUUUAUAGGUAUAUACUGUACCAUGGGUCCACACAGACUAUGCUUAAUUAUUUCAGUUUAGUGAAAUUUCUGAAGAAACUAGAGAUGGAUACAAGUUUGUCUUGAUGAAAUCACAAGUAAGCAAGCAUCACUUUUAUGAAAGAUGCAUUUGUUCAUUUCAGGAAAAAUAGUAAACUAAUUCCUUUUGUACAAAAUAAUCAGAGAUUGUGUUGCACUUAUUGAAUUUUGUAAAACCAACCUAAUCUAAGUGAUAAAGUAACAAUUGAGAAACUUCAAGUAAGAACAGAUUUGUUGAUUUAAAAGGUAAACUGCCAUAAAAUUAAAUUUGAUGGACUGGCCAAAGUCUAUCAAGUUAUAUACAUAACAAAUAUAUUUAAAUUGUUCUCCAGCUUUAUGUGUUCAAAGAUGAUUGCAA
Molecule: long non-coding RNA, 539 nt
Filed under: Bos taurus (domestic cattle)
Lineage: Eukaryota; Metazoa; Chordata; Mammalia; Artiodactyla; Bovidae
Description: long non-coding RNA NONBTAT022482
Source: RNAcentral